GAUGUGGCUCAGUGGAAGAGUAUCCGCUCGGCAUGCAGAAGGUCCCAAGUUCAAUCCCUGCUAUCUCCA
Molecule: transfer RNA, 69 nt
Filed under: Sphaerodactylus townsendi
Lineage: Eukaryota; Metazoa; Chordata; Lepidosauria; Squamata; Sphaerodactylidae
Description: tRNA-Ala
Rfam family: tRNA
About the family: Transfer RNA (tRNA) molecules are approximately 80 nucleotides in length. Their secondary structure includes four short double-helical elements and three loops (D, anti-codon, and T loops).
Source: RNAcentral